GAUGGACGCUGGCGGCGUGCUUAACACAUGCAAGUCGAACGGAAAGGCUCCUGCUUGCAGGGGUACUCGAGUGGCGAACGGGUGAGUAACACGUGGGUGAUCUGCCCUGCACUUCGGGAUAAGCCUGGGAAACUGGGUCUAAUACCGGAUAGGACGAUGGUUUGGAUGCCAUUGUGGAAAGUUUUUCGGUGUGGGAUGAGCUCGCGGCCUAUCAGCUUGUUGGUGGGGUAAUGGCCUACCAAGGCGUCGACGGGUAGCCGGCCUGAGAGGGUGUACGGCCACAUUGGGACUGAGAUACGGCCCAGACUCCUACGGGAGGCAGCAGUGGGGAAUAUUGCACAAUGGGCGCAAGCCUGAUGCAGCGACGCCGCGUGGGGGAUGACGGCCUUCGGGUUGUAAACUCCUUUCGCUAGGGACGAAGCGCAAGUGACGGUACCUGGAGAAGAAGCACCGGCUAACUACGU
This 464-nucleotide ribosomal RNA is filed under the name uncultured bacterium. RNAcentral describes it as "partial 16S ribosomal RNA". It matches the Rfam family "Bacterial small subunit ribosomal RNA", at positions 28 to 506 of the family's 1533-position model. The record is from RNAcentral.